CCGGCCGAGUUGUACUUUGCAGAGGAUGUCUUGGAAUCUGUCCCAUUUAAAGUCCUUUGGAACAGGGCGUCAUGGAGGGUGAAAAUCCCGUCUUUUUGGCAGACAGUUUCCGUGUAAGACUCCUUCGAAGAGUCGAGUUGUUUGGGAAUGCAGCUCUAAGUGGGAGGUAAAUUUCUUCCAAAGCUAAAUACCGGCUAGAGACCGAUAGCGCACAAGUAGAGUGAUCGAAAGAUGAAAAGCACUUUGAAAAGAGAGUUAAAAAGCACGUGAAAUUGUUGAAAGGGAAGCUGAUGUCAUCAGACAUGAUUCUGAAGUUCAGCCUUUUGGUGUAUUCUUGAGAAUCAGGCUAGCAUCAGUUUCGGUCGUUGGAUAAAAGUUUCGGGAAUGUAUCUCCUCGGAGUGUUAUAGCCCGAUUCAGCAUGCGACGUACCGAGAUUGAGGUCCGCUUUGAGGAUGC
RNAcentral lists this ribosomal RNA (457 nucleotides) under Trypethelium sp. Lucking 30515 (F). Its description in RNAcentral is "eukaryotic LSU rRNA". It matches the Rfam family "Eukaryotic large subunit ribosomal RNA", at positions 134 to 626 of the family's 3401-position model. The record is from RNAcentral. Lineage: Eukaryota; Fungi; Ascomycota; Dothideomycetes; Trypetheliales; Trypetheliaceae.